Hypanus sabinus (Atlantic stingray) is the source of this 1897-nucleotide long non-coding RNA. RefSeq lists it as uncharacterized. The transcript has 4 exons. Lineage: Eukaryota; Metazoa; Chordata; Chondrichthyes; Myliobatiformes; Dasyatidae. The record is from RefSeq and is a predicted model, not a curated record.
UGGAAGCUGUCUUCAGCGCGGCGGCGGGGCUUUUGUAAACUCUGUCGGAUGGAGAGGGGGUGGAGUGGCGGUGAUUUUGCCGGCUGCUUCCCCGAGACAGUGAGAAGUGGGACAGAGUUCCCGGGGGGAGAUUGAUUUCUGUCAUGUGUCUCCAUAAUCCUCUGAAUUUCCUGUAGUCACGGACAAGAUGAUAAUGAGGGAGAUUGAGUCCAUCGGGUUGUGCUGUGGGAUGUCUCGAUAGACUAUUCUUCUUCUGUACUGAUGGUGGGUUGCACCUGUCAGCAACCCGCCCAGCCCCGACUCUUUCUGCUCGCCAAAACCCAUCGGCUCCCCUCACUCAAACCGCCAGAGCCGACACUGUCCGGUUGUGUCCGCUCUCCCGGCCCGAUCCUCCCCCCACACUCCCUCACCCUCCGUGUCUGCCACACUCGCUUCAAUAGUCUGAUAACUGCUGUCCGUCACACGGACAUUUCCCCAGAUAUGGGCCCCGUCCGACACUCCCCACGCUGGCGGCUGCGACUGUCGGCCGGCGGGGCCGCCCGAUGUGGGGCAGGAAGGGGCGGCCGAGCCGGAGUGUGAGCGGGAGAAGGGAGUCGGUGGCCGAGAGGUCAGGAAUUGAGGGAAUUCUGGCCGUGGGGGAGAGGAAGCGACCGGGGAGCCCCAAGCUGGGGCGGCACGGCCCAGUCGGAAGGUUGGGGAGGGGAGCCUGGAUCCAGGGGAGAGGGAAUCAGAUCAGGAGGUUGGGAACCUGCAUGUGGGUGAGGGGAGACUGAAUCUGGAUAUGGAUCCGGAGCCUGGAUGCCACAAUUUACAGGCGGCAAUAUGGAAGCGGGGACGGGCUCUGAGGAAAGGGGCAGGGGGUCAAGCCUCAGGAACUGGCAGUUGGCCCAAAGAUGAACAGGAUGGACGGAAACUGGAUCCUGGUGAGGAGAGAGUGAAAAUGUGAAGUGAGGGCAGAGGAAGGGUCGGAGAUGAUCAGGAGCUGAACGACAACGAGAGGCCGGGGGUCCAGAUAAAACAUAGAACAACACGGCACAGUGCCCGAAGAGAUCUUGUAAAAUAUAGAGAAGGUCGAAUCCCAACUCUAAUGGAGCAGAUGAAGGCAAAAAUGAUAGUAAAAUAGAUCUGUGUAUGUGAGAGAGUUUGAGCGGUUAAAUGUCAAGGAAAAAAUGCUGCAUCAAGUUUAGUUUUAAUAUAAAAUCAACGCAGUGGUCUCCUGUGUCGAAUGAAGUGGUUCACGGUCUUCUGUCACCAUCGCCCAUCCCUUCAAGGAGAAUGCAUCCUCUACAAUCAACUGAAGUUCCUGGACUGGGAAGUGAAAGUACUGACUGCACGUGGCGUCUCACACUUCUCUGGAAAUGGCGACAAAUUGAGAUGGUUCAAUGACUUGACAUUUAGGAGUUGAGGCCCGGUCACCAGUCGGUGGGGAUGCAGCAGAAUGCCAUGGAAAUGUCCAGUGACCACUGUUUCACCAUCGUCUUUAAAGGCAGCAAGCUGGACCUGGUGGCCACUGACAGCAAGGAGGCCUGGCACUGAAACUAUCACUUCACCAAACUCAAGAAACGAGACUCCAGCAUGAACAAGAGAGAGUAACUUGUGAUGCUGGGGUCAAAUCAACACGUAGAAACAAGCUGGAUGAACUCAGCAUGUCGGGCAGCAUCCGUUGAAAUGAGCAGUCAACAUUUUGGGCCGAGACCCUUCGUCAGGACUGAAGUCCUUCCAGAAUGUGACAACAUCCAGGAGUUGAAGCCAGGUCAUCAGUCGGAGGUCAUGCAGUGGUACACCAAGGAGAUGCCCACCAGCCGCUGCUUCACCAUUGUCUUCAAAGGCAGGAAUGAAAACACGGACCUGGUGACCCUCAAUGGCACAGAGGCCUGCCUCUGGAUCUAUGUCUUCA